GCUGGGUGUGGUGGUGCACAACUGUAGUCCAGCUACUUGGGAGGCUGAGACAGGAGGAUCCCUUGAGCCCAGGAGGUUGAGGCUGCAGUAAGCCAUGAUGGUGACACUGCAUUUCCGCCUGGGCAACAGAGUAAGACCCUGUCUCAA
Pan troglodytes (chimpanzee) is the source of this 147-nucleotide non-coding RNA. It matches the Rfam family "Metazoan signal recognition particle RNA". From Rfam's summary of the family: The signal recognition particle (SRP) is a universally conserved ribonucleoprotein. It is involved in the co-translational targeting of proteins to membranes. The record is from Rfam. NCBI's taxonomy places the organism in Eukaryota, Metazoa, Chordata, Mammalia, Primates, Hominidae.